RNAcentral lists this long non-coding RNA (1095 nucleotides) under Triticum aestivum (bread wheat). RNAcentral describes it as "long non-coding RNA (TAES_LNC004098)". Lineage: Eukaryota; Viridiplantae; Streptophyta; Magnoliopsida; Poales; Poaceae. The record is from RNAcentral.
UUCCAUUCUAUAUUAAUUUCUAAAUUGUACAAAUUGAUCUAAUUUUAUUCCUUAUUAGAGCUUGAAAUCUGUAAGAGAUUACGUUUAAUGGCAAAUGGUAGGUUUAUAUGCAAUUUAAUUCAUGUGUGUCUCGGACUAUUUCUGAUUUGCUAUUAUUCAGCUGAAAAUUUCACACAGAAUCCUGAAGUUUGAAGGAAAAAUUAGGAAAAGCAAAUAUAAUACUGUUAUCAAUGGAAGAGGUGGUUAAAUGUAUCACAAGCUUCUGCUGACCCAUAAAAUCAACAUAACAAGUGUUUAUUUGAAACAUGAGCAUAAAAGGGACAUCAAAUAACUUAAGCAUGACUAUGAAAUGAACUGAAACUCCAUGGAGAGCAAGCUCCGGUAAAGAAAAGCCUUUCAAUUGAUUUGACAUAUUGGUGUAGGGAGAAGCAGGAGUUUUGGAUAAAAUUAUACUGUCGAUUAUUUUUUAAAAUUGAUAAAGCUAACUUUCACUACACCAGCUGCACUCUUGUCCAGCAAGGCACCGAUGAAGGAUUCUGUUAUUGGGAGACCUGAUUAUGGGGCCAACACGGUCAUGCAUUUUUUGUGUGUCCAGCAAGGCACCAAUGAAGGAUUCUGUUAUUGGGAGACCUGAUUAUGUUGCCUCCUCGUAGUAGGGCUAGGGAAGCAGUGUCAGGUGGAUCCUGGAAGAGCACUGGUGUGGGAUCCGCUGCUGCCAGGUAUGCUUUUCUUCCUUCCCGUCCUCUCGAUCCACUUCCUCUCUUUGUUUCUGAAUUUUGCACUCAAAUUGUGAGGUGAGGCUAAAAAAAUACAGUGGUUACUGACGGCGGUGACGACGACGAAGAUUGUCCCGGCAUCUGGAACAGUGGAUGCAUUGAGCUCGAGAUGACGAUUAGCCACUACAUCCACGAUCACUGUUUUCCCCCUUCUUUUUGUGGAGAUGAUUUCAUUACUCUUUAUCAAUGCUGUAAUAACCAAGGUGCAUGUGUGACUUGUUCAAUCAAGUGUGUAAUGAACCCUGCUUAAUAUGGCUAAUUUUUUUAAAUAAUACAUUUUUUUGUAAAUUACAGAAAUAUUACGCUGAAAAAAGAAUUU